RNAcentral lists this long non-coding RNA (1826 nucleotides) under Homo sapiens (human). RNAcentral describes it as "HSALNT0121616". The record is from RNAcentral. Lineage: Eukaryota; Metazoa; Chordata; Mammalia; Primates; Hominidae.
AAGUUGCUCUUAAGCAAGAUUUUACUAAUCAGGCAAAAAGUGGUCAUUUCUAGAAAUCACCCAGAAAGAAAAUACAACAUGUGGAGAUUCAAAGCUUGGGGUUGUAUUCUAAGGUAAGUCUCUAAAUAGCUCAAAAGCAUGAACAGACUCCUCCUUUCUCCUGAAGUUGGUGAACUCUGCUCCCAGGGAAGUCUGUUUCCCAGCCCUACCGAUGCUUCCAGGGGAAUCUGCAGACCUGUUCCUCUAGCCAGCCCACUGUGUCUGGUUUAGAAUCUUUAGUUAGGAUGCUUGAUUGCAGAUCUUUAGCUUCAGAUUUGUCACUUUUUUGCCUCCCAUUGUGGACAGGAUGUUUCAUUUACUUUAUCCUUGGCCCCAGCUGCCCAGUCAUCCAGUUAAACAGCCAACUUUUUCUCCUGACCCCAGAUCCUAGGACCCUAAUUCAUUGAGAAGCAGUAUUACACAGCUAGGCAUUUUUUUACCCUUCAAAUUAUGUCAAGUAGGGAAGGGUCAAUAGAUAUGGAGAAGAAAACAAUACUGACUGCUUACUAGGUGCCACGUAUUUUGCAGGGAUCAUUUCAGAAUCCUUACAACACCAUGAAGCAGUUAUUAUAUCCUCAUAUUGAACAUGAGAAAACUAAGACUUAGUUAAAUAACUUAUCAAAUUUACACAAAUAUGAAGUAGCAGAGCUGGGACUCAAACCCAGAUCUAUCUGAUUUCAAAAUAUUUGCCAUCUGUAAUACACUAACCAUAGUCUCACAGAAGGCACCAGCCUACCUACUUGACUGGAUCCACCUGUGAGGACCAAUGGGUAUGCCAUUGUUAUUUGAUUAAUGAAAUCCAUUCCUCAUUCAAGAGACACCUGAUACACGCUUUAGGCAUAGAAUGUAUAAAAGAUACAAAGAACAAAAUAAUAAUUGACCCUUAUCUUAAAAUUCUCUCAGUCUACAGGAAAGACAGUUAAAUAAGUAAUCAUAAUAUGGAGGAAUAUUGUGAGGGUUGUUGAUAAAAAAUGAUAAGGGGCUGGGGACAUAGCUAAGGGAGGAUUUAUUCUGGGAGUUAGGAGAGAUGUGUUCAAGGAACAUUUUUUUUUCUUUUUUUUUUUUUUAAAGCGGGAGACUUUUGAUCCAGACACAAUGUUUAAGUAAGGAUCUUCCAGGAAAAUAUGAUGGGCCAAGGGUUCCGGUUGGAAGAAACUUACGAGCAAAGAUACAGAGAUAAGCAAGUUUCUGGAAUGUUCUGGAACCUGUGAAUUAUCUGAUGUAGUUAGUAAAGUGCUUCUUGGGUGUCUGGCUCCAAAUACCCAUAGGAGUAGAGUAUAAAAGUUUUAUGUAACAUUUGGGGUGAGGAUGGAAAUUACCUUACCAAAGCAGAAUUUCAAGUUUUUUGCUUUUUUAAAAAAAUUGGUUUCUGGCAUUCUAUUCCAAACUAUGCAUGUAUUUGUUUAUAAACAAUGUUUUUAAUUUACUCACUAUGUGAAUUAUUUACCUUUUCUUGAGGAAUAUUUGAAACCCCAGGAUGAUGUACCAAGUUCAUCCAGGGGCUUUGUGUAUGCCCUGGUGACUUUACAAACCACUACCUCAGAGUUCAUGCCAUUCUGUCUCAUUUGAGAAGGAUGGAGCUCAAAUACAUGUGUAUGGUUAAGUCAUAUCUAGCGACGAGGCUGAAAACGGAAGCUGGGUUCAGUUUGUGAAGUGUUCAGAUCAAUGAGAUAAUGGGAUCAUGCACAUGUUUUUAUAAAUGUAUCAAAAAAUCUUUUCAUGUAAUAUAUGUUCUGAGACACAAUCUAAUUGUUCACAGCAGUUGGUUAUAUCAAUAAAAAAGCAGG